UACGGGGGGGGGCAAGCGUUGUUCGGAAUUACUGGGCGUAAAGGGCUCGUAGGCGGCCAACUAAGUCGGAUGUGAAAUCCCCAGGCUUAACCUGGGAACUGCAUCCGAUACUGGAUAGCUAGAGUUCGGCAGAGGGAAGCGGAAUUUCGGGUGUAGCGGUGAAAUGCGUAGAUAUCCGAAGGAACAUCAGUGGCGAAAGCGGCUUCCUGGCCUGUUCUUGACGCUGAGGCGCGAAAGCUGA
This 241-nucleotide ribosomal RNA is filed under the name uncultured bacterium. RNAcentral describes it as "partial 16S ribosomal RNA". It matches the Rfam family "Bacterial small subunit ribosomal RNA", at positions 524 to 763 of the family's 1533-position model. The record is from RNAcentral.